UCUCUCUCUGCAGCAUCCCAUCUCUCUCUCCCUCCUCCUUCUCCUUCUCCAUCCUAAUUGAUAUAUCUGCUACGUUAGAUUAAGAUGACAUUGAUGAUCUUGAUGUACUAAUACGAUAUAUAGAUGUUUAGGUUUGGGAAUUAUAUACAGACAUAACAUUCACAACCUUUUAAUGGAAUAGAUGUCAGUUGACGAAGAAAAUGAAUAUACAGUCUCACGUGAAUGAUGUGUUGUAUAGAUCGAAGUAUAUAAAUAGUCGUAAUACAAAACGAAAUUAGAGAAACUGAAGGUGGGUUUUGACAGUAGGCCUAUAUAGUUCACAGCCAAAGAGGGAGAGUAGGAAAGACAGGAUCGAAUAGACGUAUUGUCGGUUAGGUAGACAGAGACACACACACAGACAGAUGGAUACACAACAAUUAAACAGAGAAACUAUAUAUAUAUGACAAAAUGGAUGACUUGGUAAAAAAAUAACACAGGAUAAGAUAACAUGAGAAAGUCAAUCAACGAACUCAAAUAACAGAAUUGGAUGCAAGGCUAAAAUAGAUAACUGGGAUCGAGAUGGAUGGAUGACUUAGAGAAAUAAUGGAUGGAAAGGUCAAAAGAAAACCAGAUAACAGAAAACGAAGAG
Molecule: long non-coding RNA, 628 nt
Organism: Eriocheir sinensis (Chinese mitten crab)
Lineage: Eukaryota; Metazoa; Arthropoda; Malacostraca; Decapoda; Varunidae
Exons: 2
Source: RefSeq, a predicted model, not a curated record